This 780-nucleotide ribosomal RNA is filed under the name uncultured bacterium. Its description in RNAcentral is "bacterial SSU rRNA". It matches the Rfam family "Bacterial small subunit ribosomal RNA", at positions 93 to 857 of the family's 1533-position model. The record is from RNAcentral.
UAGCGGCGGACGGGUGAGUAACACGUGGGUAACCUGCCUGUAAGACUGGGAUAACUCCGGGAAACCGGGGCUAAUACCGGAUGGUUGUCUGAACCGCAUGGUUCAGACAUAAAAGGUGGCUUCGGCUACCACUUACAGAUGGACCCGCGGCGCAUUAGCUAGUUGGUGAGGUAACGGCUCACCAAGGCAACGAUGCGUAGCCGACCUGAGAGGGUGAUCGGCCACACUGGGACUGAGACACGGCCCAGACUCCUACGGGAGGCAGCAGUAGGGAAUCUUCCGCAAUGGACGAAAGUCUGACGGAGCAACGCCGCGUGAGUGAUGAAGGUUUUCGGAUCGUAAAGCUCUGUUGUUAGGGAAGAACAAGUGCCGUUCAAAUAGGGCGGCACCUUGACGGUACCUAACCAGAAAGCCACGGCUAACUACGUGCCAGCAGCCGCGGUAAUACGUAGGUGGCAAGCGUUGUCCGGAAUUAUUGGGCGUAAAGGGCUCGCAGGCGGUUUCUUAAGUCUGAUGUGAAAGCCCCCGGCUCAACCGGGGAGGGUCAUUGGAAACUGGGGAACUUGAGUGCAGAAGAGGAGAGUGGAAUUCCACGUGUAGCGGUGAAAUGCGUAGAGAUGUGGAGGAACACCAGUGGCGAAGGCGACUCUCUGGUCUGUAACUGACGCUGAGGAGCGAAAGCGUGGGGAGCGAACAGGAUUAGAUACCCUGGUAGUCCACGCCGUAAACGAUGAGUGCUAAGUGUUAGGGGGUUUCCGCCCCUUAGUGCUGCAGCUAACG